GGGGAAUAUUGCACAAUGGGGGAAACCCUGAUGCAGCGACGCCGCGUGGAGGAUGAAGGCCUUCGGGUUGUAAACUCCUUUUGUAGGGAAAGAUAAUGACGGUACCCUGCGAAUAAGCCACGGCUAACUCUGUGCCAGCAGCCGCGGUAAGACAGAGGUGGCGAGCGUUGUUCGGAAUUACUGGGCUUAAAGGGCGAGUAGGCGGUGGGACAAGUCUGAGGUGGAAUCCUAUGGCUUAACCAUAGAACUGCCUUAGAAACUGUUUUACUUGAGUCAGUGAGGGGAGGGCGGAAUUCCCGGUGUAGCGGUGAAAUGCGUAGAUAUCGGGAGGAAGGCCGGUGGCGAAGGCGGCCCUCUGGCACUGUACUGACGCUGAGGCGCGAAAGCGUGGGGAGCAAAC
This 400-nucleotide ribosomal RNA is filed under the name uncultured bacterium. Its description in RNAcentral is "bacterial SSU rRNA". It matches the Rfam family "Bacterial small subunit ribosomal RNA", at positions 356 to 773 of the family's 1533-position model. The record is from RNAcentral.